GACACUGUGGCGGAGUGGUUAACGCGAUGCCCUGCUAUCAGGUAUCAAGGCAUUGCCUUCGGGCGCGCAGGUUCGAAUCCUGCCGGUGUCG
This is a transfer RNA of 91 nucleotides. It matches the Rfam family "tRNA". From Rfam's summary of the family: Transfer RNA (tRNA) molecules are approximately 80 nucleotides in length. Their secondary structure includes four short double-helical elements and three loops (D, anti-codon, and T loops). The record is from Rfam.